RNAcentral lists this ribosomal RNA (473 nucleotides) under uncultured bacterium. RNAcentral's name for it is "SSU rRNA". It matches the Rfam family "Bacterial small subunit ribosomal RNA", at positions 26 to 518 of the family's 1533-position model. The record is from RNAcentral.
AGAAUGAACGUUGGCGGCGUGGAUUAGGCAUGCAAGUCGAACGGGCCGCAAGGCCAGUGGCGGAAGGGUGAGUAAGGCGACGGUAACCAACCCCAUGGUUGGGUAUAGCCGCGGGAAACUGCGGGUAAUCCCCAGCGACGUCCGAGCCGGGCAUCCGGCACGGACCAAAGUCCUGGCGCCGUGGGACGGGCCGUCGUGGUAUUAGGUAGUUGGCGGGGUAACGGCCCACCAAGCCUAUGAUGCCUACCGGGCGUGCGAGCGUGGCCCGGCACACUGGGACUGAGACACUGCCCAGACUCCUACGGGAGGCUGCAGUCGAGAAUCUUCGGCAAUGGGCGCAAGCCUGACCGAGCGACGCCGCGUGGAGGAUGAAGGCCUUCGGGUUGUAAACUCCUGUCGAGGGGAGGAAGGUCGGGUAACCGGCUUGACCGAUCCCUGGAGGAAGCACGGGCUAAGUUCGCGCCAGCAGCCGC